ACAAACUUGGUCAUUUAGAGGAAGUAAAAGUCGUAACAAGGUUUCCGUAGGUGAACCUGCGGAAGGAUCAUUACCAAUCUUUCGCGGGGUUCUCGUGAUCCCGCGAAGGUCCAGUAUUUAAAACCCAACUCAUAAUAAUGUAAGCAUACCGUAUCAAUCAUGAUAUAUGUAAUUUAAAGAUCACUUUCAACAACGGAUCUCUUGGCUCUCUUAGAGGAAGUAAAAGUCGUAACAAGGUUUCCGUAGGUGAACCUGCGGAAGGAUCAUUACCAAUCUUUCGCGGGGUUCUCGUGAUCCCGCGAAGGUCCAGUAUUUAAAACCCAACUCAUAAUAAUGUAAGCAUACCGUAUCAAUCAUGAUAUAUGUAAUUUAAAGAUCACUUUCAACAACGGAUCUCUUGGCUCUCGCAUCGAUGAAGAACGCAGC
This 426-nucleotide unclassified non-coding RNA is filed under the name uncultured fungus. RNAcentral's name for it is "partial contains small subunit ribosomal RNA, internal transcribed spacer 1, and 5.8S ribosomal RNA". The stretch from base 1 to 73 matches the Rfam family "Eukaryotic small subunit ribosomal RNA", at positions 1759 to 1831 of the family's 1831-position model. Lineage: Eukaryota; Fungi. The record is from RNAcentral.